GAUGAACGCUGGCGGCGUGCCUAAUACAUGCAAGUCGAGCGAACAGACGAGGAGCUUGCUCCUCUGACGUUAGCGGCGGACGGGUGAGUAACACGUGGAUAACCUACCUAUAAGACCGGGAUAACUUCGGGAAACCGGAGCUAAUACCGGAUAAUAUAUUGAACCGCAUGGUUCAAUAGUGAAAGACGGUUUUGCUGUCACUUAUAGAUGGAUCCGCGCCGCAUUAGCUAGUUGGUAAGGUAACGGCUUACCAAGGCAACGAUGCGUAGCCGACCUGAGAGGGUGAUCGGCCACACUGGAACUGAGACACGGUCCAGACUCCUACGGGAGGCAGCAGUAGGGAAUCUUCCGCAAUGGGCGAAAGCCUGACGGAGCAACGCCGCGUGAGUGAUGAAGGUCUUCGGAUCGUAAAACUCUGUUAUUAGGGAAGAACAAAUGUGUAAGUAGCUAUGCACGUCUUGACGGUACCUAAUCAGAAAGCCACGGCUAACUACGUG
This 497-nucleotide ribosomal RNA is filed under the name uncultured bacterium. RNAcentral describes it as "partial 16S ribosomal RNA". It matches the Rfam family "Bacterial small subunit ribosomal RNA", at positions 28 to 507 of the family's 1533-position model. The record is from RNAcentral.